UAACUUCGGGAAAAGGAUUGG
This 21-nucleotide non-coding RNA is filed under the name Arabidopsis thaliana (thale cress). The record is from RNAcentral. Lineage: Eukaryota; Viridiplantae; Streptophyta; Magnoliopsida; Brassicales; Brassicaceae.